GAGCGCAACCUUCAUCGUUAGUUGCCAUCAUUUAGUUGGGCACUUUAAGGAAACUGCCGGUGAUAAGCCGGAGGAAGGUGGGGAUGACGUCAAGUCCUCAUGGCCCUUACAGGGUGGGCUACACACGUGCUACAAUGGUAUUUACAGUGAGCAGCGAUCCCGCAAGGGUUAGCUAAUCUCCAAAAGAUAUCUCAGUUCGGAUUGUUCUCUGCAACUCGAGAGCAUGAAGGCGGAAUCGCUAGUAAUUGCGGAUCAGCAUGCCGCGGUGAAUACGUUCCCAGGC
RNAcentral lists this ribosomal RNA (283 nucleotides) under Erythrobacter sp. Its description in RNAcentral is "partial 16S ribosomal RNA". It matches the Rfam family "Bacterial small subunit ribosomal RNA", at positions 1094 to 1379 of the family's 1533-position model. The record is from RNAcentral. Lineage: Bacteria; Pseudomonadati; Pseudomonadota; Alphaproteobacteria; Sphingomonadales; Erythrobacteraceae.